UUUGUGGAGAGUUUGAUCCUGGCUCAGGAUGAACGCUGGCGGCGUGCUUAACACAUGCAAGUCGAACGGAAAGGCCCAAGCUUGCUUGGGUACUCGAGUGGCGAACGGGUGAGUAACACGUGGGUGA
Molecule: ribosomal RNA, 127 nt
Filed under: Corynebacterium riegelii
Lineage: Bacteria; Bacillati; Actinomycetota; Actinomycetes; Mycobacteriales; Corynebacteriaceae
Description: partial 16S ribosomal RNA
Rfam family: Bacterial small subunit ribosomal RNA
Source: RNAcentral